Non-coding RNA from Leptonychotes weddellii (Weddell seal), 172 nucleotides. The record is from RefSeq and is a predicted model, not a curated record. Lineage: Eukaryota; Metazoa; Chordata; Mammalia; Carnivora; Phocidae.
CCUCCUACAGCCCCCAUGCCUUUCUUCAUCUGCUUUUUGCAAAGAAGCUAUGUGGGGGGUAGAACUUCCCCCCAGAAAGCGUGGACGUGAAAGAACAGGAUUUAAAGAAUCUCAUCUUGGACUCAGUCAUGGGUAGACCAGCUUCCGAUCAUUAAUAAACAUGACAGAUACA